This 501-nucleotide ribosomal RNA is filed under the name uncultured bacterium. RNAcentral's name for it is "partial 16S ribosomal RNA". It matches the Rfam family "Bacterial small subunit ribosomal RNA", at positions 30 to 523 of the family's 1533-position model. The record is from RNAcentral.
AUUGAACGCUGGCGGCAGGCUUAACACAUGCAAGUCGAGCGGGGGAAGGUAGCUUGCUACCGGACCUAGCGGCGGACGGGUGAGUAAUGCUUAGGAAUCUGCCUAUUAGUGGGGGACAACAUCUCGAACGGGAUGCUAAUACCGCAUACGUUCUACGGGAGAAAGCAGGGGAUCUUCGGACCUUGCGCUAAUAGAUGAGCCUAAGUCGGAUUAGCUAGUUGGUGGGGUAAAGGCCUACCAAGGCGACGAUCUGUAGCGGGUCUGGGAAGAUGGUCGGCCACGCUGGGACUGAGACACGGCCCAGAGUCCUCCGGGAGGCAGCAGUGGGGAAUAUUGGACAAUGGGGAGAACCCUGAUCCAGCCAUGCCGCGUGUGUGAAGAAGGCCUUAUGGUUGUAAAGCACUUUAAGCGAGGAGGAGGCUACUUUAGUUAAUACCUAGAGAUAGUGGACGUUACUCGCAGAAUAAGCACCGGCUAACUCUGUGCCAGCCGCCGCAGUAA